This 1134-nucleotide ribosomal RNA is filed under the name Kudoa septempunctata. RNAcentral describes it as "SSU rRNA". It matches the Rfam family "Eukaryotic small subunit ribosomal RNA", at positions 87 to 1259 of the family's 1831-position model. Lineage: Eukaryota; Metazoa; Cnidaria; Myxozoa; Multivalvulida; Kudoidae. The record is from RNAcentral.
CUGCGAAGCGCUCAGUAAAUCAGUUAUUGUCCGUUCGGUCAUAUCAGCCAUGGAUAACUGUGGUAAAUCUAGAGCUAAUACAUAGCAAAUCUCACCAUGUAAAUGGUGGGAGCAUUUAUUAGACUCGACCAACUGGCCUCGGCCAUUUGAUGAAUCCUAAUAACUGAGCAUAUCGAACAUUAAUUUGUCGAUAGUCCGAUCGAAUUUCUGCCCUAUCAACUAGUUGGUGAGGUAGUGGCUCACCAAGGUUGUGACGGGUAACGGGGGAUCAGGGUUCGAUUCCGGAGAGGGAGCCUGAGAAACGGCUACCACAUCUAAGGAAGGCAGCAGGCGCGCAAAUUACCCAAUCCAGACUUUGGGAGGUAGUGACGAGAAAUACCGGAGUGGACCGUAAAAUGGUUCACUAUCGGAAUGAACGUAAUUUAAUACCUUCGAUGAGUAGCUACUGGAGGGCAAGUCUGGUGCCAGCAGCCGCGGUAAUUCCAGCUCCAGUAGUGUAUAUCAAAAUUGUUGCGGUUAAAACGCUCGUAGUUGAAUUACAAAAGCUCUUUGGCGGCCAAAUCUAGGUUUGGUCGUUGUGGGGUUUUUUUAUCGCGAGAGCCAUACGUGGGAUUAAAUUCUUGUGUGUGGUCACUUGCGAGGUGUGCCUUGAAUAAAGCACAGUGCUCAAAGCAGGCGAACGCUUGAAUGUUAUAGCAUGGAACGAUUAUGUUGAUCUUGUCGACUGUUGGUUGUUGACAGUGGUCUCGAUUAAAAGGGACAUUUGAGGGCGUUAGUACUUGGUGGCGAGGGGUGAAAUCCUUUGACCCAUCAAAGACUAACUAAUGCGAAAGCAUUCGCCAAGAGUGUUUUCAUUAAUCAAGAACGAAAGUUGGAGGUUCGAAGACGAUCAGAUACCGUCCUAGUUCCAUACAGUAAACUAUGCCAACAUGGGAUUAGCCCGGUUUAAUCCAGGUUGGGCCCUCAGUGAAAACGUAGUGUUUCGGCUUUGGGGAGAGUGCUCACGCAAGUGACAAAUUUAAAGAAAUUGACGGAAUGGCACCACCAGGAGUGGAGCCUGCGGCUUAAUUUGAUUCAACACGGGGAAACUCACCAGGUCCAGACAUUGGUAGGAUUGACAGACUGAGAGAUCUU